RNAcentral lists this long non-coding RNA (1052 nucleotides) under Chrysolophus pictus (golden pheasant). RNAcentral describes it as "lncRNA (ENSCPIG00010011183.1)". The record is from RNAcentral. Lineage: Eukaryota; Metazoa; Chordata; Aves; Galliformes; Phasianidae.
CUGGAAAGCUCAAGACAAUACUGGGAGACAGCAGGAGGGCACUGGGCUGUUACAGAAAGCACUGGGAGUGUAGCAGGAGGCUACAGGGAGCAGCAGGGGGUACUGGAAUGGUGCCUGGGGGUCCCCAGACGGCAGCGAGGGGCUCCAGGCUGCGUCACACCAGGCUGUGGGUUUGGCCGGCAAGGGACGGGGCGUAGCAGGACGGCGUGUGGGGACAGGCGAGAGGCAUUUCUGCACUUCCAGGCAGGAGCUGGAGGCACAGGGCAGCGUUCGGCCGGCGGUGAGGGAUUGGAAUUGGAACCGGUGCCAUUUUCCGGUGCAGCGAGAGGAAGAUGAAGGUCCUGCUGAUGCCGGCGCUGCUGCUCGCCUGCGGCAUGCUCACAGCUCGUGGGAAGCACCCACACACGUUUGCUCCGGGGCUGGAAGGAAGCACCGUGGGAAACCUGACUGCCCAUGGCUGUGGCUCGGGAUGGGGCCGUGGUCGCGCUGCUUUCAUGGACAGGUGCUGCCUGCUCCGUGCCUGCUGCUACGCCAAGCUGGCCGCACGCCGCUGCCGCGUGGGACAAACCCAACGCCUCCCUGUGCCCCAGCCGGGGGUCCCUGCCUGCAGCUCCGGGACGCGGUGCCAGCGAGCAGCCUGCAGGUGCGAGCGUUUGGCUCUGCUGUGCCGGGCACGCAGCCAGGCGCUGCGCAGGUGUCGAGGCAGACGCUGCUGAUGGAGAAAGGCUCCUCGGAAUAAACCCACCUCCAUGCUGGAGGACAACCGCCCUUUUGUGAAGCUGCGUCAUUGGACACUGGGUGUGAGGAGGGCAGCGCAGAUGUAAUGUUUCUGCUCAGAAAAACAAGGGAGGAGCAGACACCUGUGCCUUGUCACAGCAGAGGGCGAGAUGAUGGAAGCAGUCUUGCUGUUGGCCUUCACCCCUUUUGGCUCAAGCUCCCCGUUUGUAAAUCACUGCACGGAGAUGUUGGCUCCCUCAGCUUCUUGCUUCGCUGCAGAAUCUUGUAUGUUGCUCCAAAAUAAAACCAGAGAGCACAAAGCUUCGGUCCUCUGU